CCCAUUGAUAACAAAAGUAUAAAAAAUAAGAAAAAGAAGAGAACCCCAAGAAGGCUUUGUGUUUGCUUAGAUGAUGGGCUAGCAUUCUACAUUUUCAUUCUCAGUGGGGCAGAGAAGGGAGGCUACCAUGGGCAGAAGCAUGGAAAAGAAAUAGGAGAAGAAACAAAGGAUUUAUCCAGCAAGAGAGACAGGAGGAAGAAGGAAGUGGACAAAAGCUGCCCUGAGAUUCUCAUCCCACAGACCUAUCAGGUCCAUUUCCCCUAACCUCUCCUCCCCAGAUCAACAAUGCUCAUCUCUUCUGAUUCUCUUCUAAUUAUAUAUGUUCCCCUUUUUUGUUUAUCUUCUAGAAUCAGACUAGCACCUUUGCUCCAGGACAUAGGAUCCAUUUCCAAUGGCAAAAAGCUCUGACGCACUGAGAGUGUCAUUCAUAUACCAGGCAACCUAAAAUGGGGAAAGAGAGAAGAAUGCUCCUGGGAAGGUUGUAUUGGCUAGACCUGAGGAUGGCAUACAUGUGUACUCACAUUCUACAGGCUGUGGCUAAGUCAUGUGGCUGUGCCCAGUUACAAGGGUGGCUGAAAUGUGGUUGUACUAGUUUCCUAAGCUUGCCAUAACAAAGGAAGCAAACCGGGUGGCUUAAAAUAACAGAACUUUAUUCUCUCACAGUUAUGGAGGAUGGAAGUCUGAAAUCAAGGUGUUAGAGCCAUGCUCCUUCUGAGAGCUUUAGAGAAGCAUCCUUCCUUGCCUCUUUCCCGCUUCUAGUGGUUGCCGGCAAUUGGUCUUUCUUGGCGUGUAGCUGCAUAGUUCCUAUUUUGCCUCAGUCUUCAUAUGACUGCCUUCCCACGGUGCCCAAAUUUUCCUCUUUUUAUAAGGAUACCUGUCACUGGACUAAGGCUCACCCUAAUCUAUUAUGACCUCACUUUAACAUGAUUGCUUCUACAAAAGGCCCUAUUCCCAAGUCAGGCCACAUUCACAGGAACUGGAGGUUAGGACUUAAACGUAUCCUUUUUUUGGGGGGGGGGGGGGAGAGGACAGUUCAACCCAUGACAGUGGUCUAGCUGUCUAGGAGGGAAAGACAAAAUUGUUUGAUGAAUCGCUGUCCAAUCUGUAUCUAGUUAGUUGUUGAGUUUCUCUAACACAAGUAAUAGGAAACAGGAAAGGUUUUGAGGGUUUUAGAGAACUAAGCCUUUAUUGGUAUCAAUGAUUCUCUAAAAAAAUAUAUUUUUUAACACCAGACAAUUUUGACAAAUAAACUUUUGGAAGAUAAUCUAUCUCUAAGGCAUAAUUGCUUAUACUACGGGGACAUUUACCCCCCCCCCCAAAUAAUGCCACAAUUUUUUUUUAAAGCAGUAUGUCUCAGAUUUCAUAAUACUCUUGAUUCUAAUGGCUUAAUAGAACAGAGUAGGCAUAUUAAAAUUAAUCUAAUCACCUCUAAAACUCCAUACCUAUAAAAUAUUCUUAGCAUAAAACUAAGAAAGGUUUCCUUUUUUCUCCUUGGGUCACUGUCAUCUGACUGUGGUUUCUGCUCUUGGCAUUUUCCAUCUUGGCUUUUGCCCAUCUUACUGCACUUUAUUAAGUGGCUGCUCUUCACUGAAGCUGGCCAUGAUUUAAUAAAAACAACAACAACAACAACAACAAUGAACAGUGUCUUUAGAAUCAGAAGAACAUUAGUUCUGCAGCUUAUCAACCUUGUUAUCCUGGGAAAGUCACCAAAACUGCUUUCUACCUCAGUUUUUUUUUUUUUUCCCUUCCUGUACUAUGCUUGAUGUUGACCUUUUCCCAGUGUGGUUGUAAGAAUCCCAUAAAGUCACUAAAUAUUUGAGUAUCUGUCAUGUGCCAGUAUUGUUAUAAGUACUUGGGAUAUGUCAGUGAGCACAGAUCUCAAGCCUUCAUGGAUCUUCCAUUGUGGGGCUAAAAAUUAUGUAAAUUAUAAAAUGCUUUAAAAUGUAAGGUACUGUCAUGACUGCUAUUUUAUCUGCAGCAGCAACUCCAGUUUCUCAAAUAUCUUUAAAAAUUGUAUUGAAAUGCUACAGCAUAGCUCUCCCAGAUGUCAGAAGGUAUGCAAAAUCAUCAAAUAAAUGGAGACUUUACCCAUUAAAAGUUUAACCAUAAAUAUAAACUCAUGGUAAAUAUUUAAAAUGUUUCCUUAUUGCAUUUAAAAAUAAGCCUGGGGCCCCUAUUAUAUGUCACACAAUGCGUUAGGUUCCAUACGGGAUGAGAAGAUAAACACUAAUCCUGCCCUUCAGGAGCUUAGCUUCUGGUUGGACACAUGCCGGCUAAAGACUACUCUCUGAGGACAGAAGAGGAAUGCCCAGUAAGAAGGCACAGAGAAAUUGAUUGAAAGCUUCAAAGAGAAACCCAAAUGCUCACAACACUACAACCUAUUGUCAAUCUCUGCAUGUAUAAAUUGUACCUUCUAGGAGUUCCCAUUGUGGCUCAGUGGAAACGAAUGUGACUAGCAUCCAUGAGGAUGCAGGUUUGAUCCCUGGUCUCACUCAGUGGGUUAAGGAUCCAGUGUUGCUGUGAACUGUGGUGUAGGCCAGCGGUAUAGCUCCAAUUCAACCCCUAGCCUGGGAACCUCCAUAUGCCGUGGGUGUGACCCUAAAAAGAUAAAUAAAGAAAUAGAUAAGUAAAUAAAUAAAUAAAUUGUAUCUUCUAAUGCUAUAAUGACUAAACUACUGCUAGCACCUAUUUAUCUACUUGCUGAGAUUUUUAUUUUACAGUUUGAAUAUGGGUGCUUACCUCUGUGGUAUUCUGGUCUAGUGUGUGUGCAGUACAUUCACUCUGUAAAGAAAGUACAUUGUAUAAAAGUUUACUUUUCAGAAGCAGCAGCCAGGAGUUUGUAGCUCCACUGUCAACAUCGGAGACCUGCGUCCGAGUGUCUAAGCCAUGGGUUAUAUAUUUGGAUAUUGACAAAGAAGGCACUGUUAGGAGAGACUAUCCAAACCUAACCAGAAAUUGCUAAUUCAUAAAGUUGUCAAAUACGAAGUUCACCUGUUUGCGAUUUACUUUGCAGAAGUGACAUAAAAACAAUGAUUGGGCUCCUCCUCGGGCUAUCAAAACCAUUGACUGAAAAACAUUCUGGCAUCAAAUGAGAAUGAAGGUGUUAGUAACACAUCUGUCCUGGAGAUCCAGAUGCUGGCAAAGUUUUCCUUUUUCCGCUCUUUUUCUCUUUUGCCAUGUCAUUGGUUUGCUAAUGUAUUU
Molecule: long non-coding RNA, 3201 nt
Filed under: Sus scrofa (pig)
Lineage: Eukaryota; Metazoa; Chordata; Mammalia; Artiodactyla; Suidae
Description: lncRNA (ENSSSCG00035072983.1)
Source: RNAcentral